CCUACGGGUGGCAGCAGUCGAGAAUCAUUCACAAUGGGCGAAACCCUGAUGGUGCGACGCCGCGUGGGGGAAUGAAGGUCUUCGGAUUGUAAACCCCUGUCAUGUGGGAGCAAAUUAAAAAGAUAGUACCACAAGAGGAAGAGACGGCUAACUCUGUGCCAGCAGCCGCGGUACUACAGAGGUCUCAAGCGUUGUUCGGAAUCACUGGGCGUAAAGCGGUCGUAGGCUGUUUCGUAAGUCGUGUGUGAAAGGCGCGGGCUCAACCCGCGAACGGCACAUGAGACUGGGAGACUAGAGUAAUGGAGGGGGAACUGGAAUUCUAGGUGUAGCAGUGAAAUGCGUAGAUAUCGGGAGGAACACUCGGGGCGAAGGCGGGUUCCUGGACAUUAACUGACGCUGAGGCACGAAGGCCAGGGGAGCGAAAGGGAUUAGAUACCCUUGUAGUC
RNAcentral lists this ribosomal RNA (446 nucleotides) under uncultured bacterium. RNAcentral's name for it is "partial 16S ribosomal RNA". It matches the Rfam family "Bacterial small subunit ribosomal RNA", at positions 338 to 795 of the family's 1533-position model. The record is from RNAcentral.